Molecule: microRNA precursor, 87 nt
Filed under: Lucilia cuprina (Australian sheep blowfly)
Lineage: Eukaryota; Metazoa; Arthropoda; Insecta; Diptera; Calliphoridae
Description: microRNA mir-598
Source: RNAcentral
UCAUGAUAAUCAUGAUUAUGAUCAUGAUGAUCAUGAUUAUGACCAUGAUGAUCAUGAUUAUGAUCAUGAUGAUCAUUAUGAGGUUCU